AGGUGGAGGUUGCAGUGAGUCGAGAUGAUGCCAUUGCACUCCAGCCUGGGCAACAAGAGCAAAGAAACCUCUGUCAAAAAAAAAAAAAAGAAUAAUAUGGUAAUUUAAGAUUCAUAUGUUUUAUCCAUCUUGAAAAAUACCUUGUGCAUGUAUUUGAAGUCUUUUUACACACUGAUUUAUCUUGGGUGUAUUGUAUCUGUCUACAUUAUUUAAGCAAUGUAAUCACUAAAAGUUUAAGCACGGGGUUGAGCUUUCUGGCAUUCCAUUAGAAUGCCUGGGGAAACACACUUCUUGCCAGUUGCGUGCCUGCUGAUUGGGGAAUGAAACGCAAAUAUUCCAGUAUCAACAGAUUUGUUUAUUUCGUUUUUUUUUUCCCGACAGAGUGCCAGGAAAUGGGCUAAGUAAAGAAUGUCACUUUCUGACAGGCCCAGGAACCUAAAGUUAUUUUGAGACCUUGAGAGGAAAGGAAUUCACCCAAUUUGUACAGAAAGCCAUUGCAAGAACCAGUGGAAUUUAAAGAUGGAUCCAAUUCCUGGGGAGUUGGAUCACUGGAUGCAUAAGGAAAUCCAAACUAAUAAGGAAAAAGUGAAAUAUUCAUUCCCUUCGUUAUUGUUAUCUAUAAUAGCUAAAAUUAAAGUAAGAGUGCUGGGUUGGGCCUUGAGGCCGGACCAAGCUCA
This is a long non-coding RNA of Rhinopithecus roxellana (golden snub-nosed monkey), 677 nucleotides long. RefSeq lists it as uncharacterized. The transcript has 2 exons. Lineage: Eukaryota; Metazoa; Chordata; Mammalia; Primates; Cercopithecidae. The record is from RefSeq and is a predicted model, not a curated record.